UCAGACGAUGCGUCAUGUAUAUCAAUAAGCGGAGGAAAAGAAACUAACAAGGAUUCCCCUAGUAACGGCGAGUGAAGCGGGAAGAGCUCAAAUUUGAAAUCUUAAAGGGUUUCCCUUUACGAAUUGUAGUUUAAAGAAGUGUUUUCUGUUGAGGUUUUGGUAAAAGUUCUUUGGAAUAGGACAUCAUAGAGGGUGAGAAUCCCGUAUUUGACCUUUACUUUCAACUUUGUGAUACACUUUCAAAGAGUCGGAUUGUUUGGGAAUGCAGUCCAAAAUGGGUGGUAAAUUUCAUCUAAAGCUAAAUAUUGGCGAGAGACCGAUAGCGAACAAGUACCGUGAGGGAAAGAUGAAAAGAACUUUGAAAAGAGAGUUAAACAGUACGUGAAAUUGUCAAAAGGGAAGCGUUUGACACCAGUGUUGUUUUUCUGAAAAUCAAUUAAAGAACUGUUUAUGCUAAGCUGUUUAGACUUUAUCAGCUAUCUGUUUAGUUUUGAGCUUUUCUUUAAUGCACUUUUCAGUUAACAAGUCAACAUCAAUUUCUUUUGCUGUAAAAAAGCUUGAGGAAGGUGGCUUGAGAUUCGUCUUAAGUGUUUAUAGCCUCUUGCCUAUGCAGUCGGAGAGAUCGAGGUCUGCAGCGUAGAUCCUUCGGGGCUAAAUGCAUUUGUGCUAAGUUAUAGCAUUUUAUAGACAACUUGUUGACUAUGAUUUGUCUUGUAGCUUACUCGCUUAUGUUAUUUUACCUACGCUUAGGAUGUUGACACACGCGCGUGCUCG
RNAcentral lists this ribosomal RNA (774 nucleotides) under uncultured Neocallimastigales. Its description in RNAcentral is "partial large subunit ribosomal RNA". It matches the Rfam family "Eukaryotic large subunit ribosomal RNA", at positions 18 to 643 of the family's 3401-position model. The record is from RNAcentral. Lineage: Eukaryota; Fungi; Neocallimastigomycota; Neocallimastigomycetes; Neocallimastigales.